UGUGAUUUGGACUUGAGACUAUUUUGUCCAGUGUUCUUUCAUUUUGGACACCUCAUACAUUGAGUGACAGAACACUCCUAUUUGUCAUGCUAUAUUUACAUAUUUGGUAUUGUUGAAUUCAGCACAACCAUUUGUUUGCCAUUUGUUUUAUUUAAGACAGUAAUUUAAUUUGUAUUGUGUGAAGUUAAGUUAUAGUGAAGUUAUCAUUAAGUUCAAACUGCAAUCCCGGCUCCUGGUCUCUGGUUUCUGCUAUGGUAAGGUGUUAUCUUUCGAUUUCAAUCUUUGUUUCCAUAUAGUACAAGGUGCCAUUUGAAAUAUUUCAUUAUUACAUGUAUCUUAUAUGUGAAUUUCUCAACAUUCUUCUCACCACUGAUAAUGAAUGGGCUUUGGACUAAAUUAUGUCAGUGUUCCAUUUCAUUCAUUUUGGACACCUCAUACAUUGAGUGACAGAACACUCCUAUUUGUCAUGCUAUAUUUACAUAUUUGGUAUUGUUGAAUUCAGCACAACCCCACCUUUCCAACAAGCCAUCAUGUGUGUUUCAAUGAUAAUCCCAGGCAAAGCAAGCACAAAGUAAAUGAAAACAUUCUGCAUAGAUACUAAAUUUGUGCAUGUCCGCUUAUUAUAUGUAUGUGUUUACAUGUCUCUAUUUAUUACAUACAUCAAGAUAUUCACAUUCAGUCUUUUCUAGUAGUUGAAUCAUCUUCCUGACUACAAACAUGUCGAGUUUCAAAGCUCUCAGAGCUUGUGUGAUUGAUCUGCAUUAGUUUAUGUGCCCUAACUCCUAUACGGAUAGGCUAUAUUUUAGUCCUUUAUUGGUUUUGGGGUGUAUAACAAUAUCUGUUAAUUUAACAAUCUUAGCAGUAAAAUAUUUUUAGCCAAGAAUCCAUUUCAUAUAUGGGAGACCUUAGAGAUGAGGAAAAACAUUGUUGGGUUUAGUUCUACCUCCGGUAGGGGUAUCUCAAAAACUAAAGCACUUUUUGACCAUUUGUCACUAGCCUAUAAACAGAUGAAUUACCUUCGGUCCCUUGGCGGAGCAAACCCAGGUGCAACCUUGCGCAAAAUAUUGCGCAAGGUUGCAUCAAAUGAGGUCUUAGGUGUCUACAGCCUCAAAGGGAAAAAAGGCAAACUACCCUUCCAAAACCUGAAUCUAUGCAACAUGAUCAUAGGGGCAAUGCAGAAGGUGUACACGUCUCUAAAGGCCAGUAAUAUUGAAGACCUCAUUUCAAUGGUCCUAAAAUUUGCCCCACACAGGCGUUUAAAAUGCUGAGGAAGUGAAGACUUCGAGAAGUUUUACAAUUUUGUUCACCGUAUACGUUUUCAGUUUUGUUCCCUGCACACGUUCACUGUACACAAUGAACUUAUACAUUUUGUUUGUUGUUUAAAAUAAAAGGUUCAGAUCCAAUUUCAGACAUUGAAAUCUUUUCUUUAAAUGCAAGUCAUAUACAUAUAUAAUUCAUGGUUCAUAUGAUUAUAUACAAUAACAAUAUUAUUGUUGUACUACAAUAAAAUGUAUACAAUAAACUAUGUAGAAGUAUUGGCUUGUUUACUGAUUAAUGUACAGAAAUCAGAAUGUAGUGGUUAGGAGAACGUUCCGAGAACGUUCCCUAUUGGUUAUCCAGGAAAGUUUUCAUAACGUAAAUAGAACAUUCCCUUAAGGUUAGGGGAACGUUCCGGGAACUUUAUGGGAACCAAAAACUAAUGUUCCAGAACGUAAAAUUGUUAGCUGGGGUGUCUGUGACUUAUCACCCACAACUAAACCUAUCUCAUAUAUUUUUAUUUUCUCAUCAUUUCUAUGGACUCUUUAUAAAUGUAAAUGUAUGUAUUUGCCUACAAAACUACCACUGGCUCUGCACCCAUUUACCUAAAUUUGUUACUUCAGACUUAUGUGCCCUCUAGAAGCUUGCGUUCUGCAAGUGAACGUCGCUUGAUUGUGCCAUCCCAAAGAAGCACAAAGUCACUUUUACGGACUUUUAAAUUAAAUGUUCCCUUCUGGUGGAAUGAACUCCCCAACUCAAUCCGAGCAGCUGAGUCCUUAGCCAUCUUCAAGAAUCGGCUUAAAACACAUCUCUUCCAUCUUUAUUUGACCCUCUAACUUUAACACUCACUAUUCUAAAUCUAUUCUUUAAAAAAAUCGAACUACCUUUCUAAUCUUUUUGUAUUCUAUUUUCUUUUCAUUUAUUAUGCAAUUGUAUAUGUAUGUGUGUGUGUAUGUGUAAAGACCUCUAACUAGCUUGCUCUAUUCUUUUAUUUUUUUUAUUCUGUUUUCUUUUUAUUUAUUAUAUUAGUUAAAGUCCCAUGCUACGUGUACUGUGUUAACCUGAGACUUGUAUUCAUCUAAAUGUAUUUACAAUGUUAAAUAUGUAAAGAAACUGAAAUUAAGUUGGUUGUUACUACUAUUUAAGUUAUGUAAUUGUGUUUGCAACCAAAGAACACUGAUUUUGCUAAAUUCUUCCUUAAUACAGAUAAGGGAGGCAGAAUUUCAUUCAGUCUUUGUGUAUUUUAUUUACAGACACAGCUAAAAAAAACAUUACAUGUGAGAAGAGACAUUACAAAAUCUUUUGAAAAAAAAAAAAAAAAACAUUUACAUAUUAGUUGCCAGCAAGGUGUGUAAUUCUAACAUUACGCCUUCAAAACAACACUUGGACACAUAUUGGUCAAAGCACAGCACACAACCACAAUUUUAUCGAGCAAAGUCUUCAGCUCAGUCUCAUGAGUGGUGUGGACAGUGUCCGGGGAUGAGGUGGAUUCACAGGACCUUACAUUUCAGGUGCGGGUGUAGUGUCUGACAGUUACAAUACAAAGCAAUUGUGUCAUAUCACAACCUCUAUUCCUAAAGGAAUCCAGAUUAGAUAUGCACAGUGGGCGACAUACACUACCGUUCAAAGAUUUAGGUUUUUAAAAGAAG
This 2906-nucleotide long non-coding RNA is filed under the name Carassius auratus (goldfish). Its description in RNAcentral is "lncRNA (ENSCARG00000038424.1)". Lineage: Eukaryota; Metazoa; Chordata; Actinopteri; Cypriniformes; Cyprinidae. The record is from RNAcentral.